This is a long non-coding RNA of Trichomycterus rosablanca, 423 nucleotides long. RefSeq lists it as uncharacterized. NCBI's taxonomy places the organism in Eukaryota, Metazoa, Chordata, Actinopteri, Siluriformes, Trichomycteridae. The transcript is spliced from 2 exons. The record is from RefSeq and is a predicted model, not a curated record.
ACCCAGACAGAGCAGCACGAGACAGGAUGGAGACGAGGCGCCGGGAGCAGUGGGAGGAGAGCAGGAGACAGGAGGAGGAAGAGGCCGACCUCAGGGAGGAGCUCCGGCUCCAGGACGAGGAGCUUCGGCUGGAGAAGGAGAGGAUGACCCAGCGAGGCUACGAGGAGAGGAUUCGCAGCAGACCCCGUUCAGCCUGGACCUGAGGACCUGAGGAGAAUGUGGAUCUGUCACCGUGCUUUUUGCUACAAAAAAUUGUAAAUUAAUCAUAAAGCUUGUCCGGCAACGAAAUCAGGACGAGCAGCAUGUUGAAAAGAAUGCCUUUUUUCAUUAUUUUAUUAAAUAAAUUACAAUUUGUUGUAUUUAUUUUAGUUUUGAAUUUUCCUGACGUGACAAAUCAAGAUUAAAAAUGAUUUUCUCCCCAAA